GGGGGAAUGAGUUAAUGGCCAUGCGCGCGGUCUCCAAAACCGUGAAUCUGGGUUCGAAUCCCAGUUCCCCCG
RNAcentral lists this transfer RNA (72 nucleotides) under Solirubrobacterales bacterium. RNAcentral describes it as "tRNA-Trp". It matches the Rfam family "tRNA". Rfam says of the family: Transfer RNA (tRNA) molecules are approximately 80 nucleotides in length. Their secondary structure includes four short double-helical elements and three loops (D, anti-codon, and T loops). Lineage: Bacteria; Bacillati; Actinomycetota; Thermoleophilia; Solirubrobacterales. The record is from RNAcentral.